CUGGCUCAUCACCGCUCAUUUGUGGGGCCCAUGGUUGAGCGUGCGCUCUCACCUAAUGUGUGACUUUCAAGCAUCAUGAAGCAUUUCUCUGUGUGACGUUCUCGUCAGUGUGGUUUAUGCAUAACGUGUCUUGGCAUCCAUUUUUAGAAGUGAUCUAAUCCCAAGUGUGCUGAUUCUGCCCUCAAAUGAGGUUUUAAAGCUGAAGAAGGCAGCAAGGAACACUGUCUACUGAAGCAUCAAGCAGCUGGCGCCCGCAGUGUCGUCUGUUCAGCCUGAAGUUGAAACUUACACCAGCACUUCCACUGGUGCUUAAAGGUCUGAGGCGAGGCAUCUAAACGCACUGCGUGCUAGCAACUCUGCCGCUUUCUGUUAGGAAGCUGCCCUUGAAGCCAAUAUUUAUGUGGCAACUUGAGGCCUCGUUGUGUAACCAACCUGAGACACAAAUACACAACUGUGUAACAAGCGAAAAAGACAGCUGACAGAUCAGCCACCUUCAGGCGCUCCCUUCAGGUUCCACCUUCAGGUUCCACCUUCAGGCGCUCCUUCAGGCGCUCCUUCAGGCACUCCCUUCAGGUUCCACCUUCAGGUUCCACCUUCAGGUGCUCCUUCAGGUGCUCCUUCAGGCGCCACCUUCAGGCGCCUCCUUCAGGUGCUCCUUCAGGUGCUCCUUCAGGUGCCACCUUUAGUCCUUAGACUUUCUGAUCUGCCACUGACACGAGCUAAAAAAAAAUUUUCAAAAAUCUUUUUGACAGACACUGACCCAAAACAGACAGAUUUUGCCAACUCCACACCUAAAGAUAAAAAAACGCAGGAACUAUUUAAAUCGAUCCCUCAUCGGAUACGAGCAGAAGGACCCAGGUUGUUGUUAUCAACGUGCAUUUGGAAAUUGCCAUGAUGACAAGUUUGGAUUCCUGCAGUACAGAUUAGAAGCACACAAGUGUGAAAAACAAUAAUUAUGUGUGUGUGUGUGUGUGUGUGUGUGUGUGUGUGUGUGUGUGUGUGUGUGUGGCAAUAAAAACACGAGUGUUUUUAUUUUAAGUGUCA
This 1044-nucleotide long non-coding RNA is filed under the name Betta splendens (Siamese fighting fish). RNAcentral's name for it is "lncRNA (ENSBSLG00000013823.1)". Lineage: Eukaryota; Metazoa; Chordata; Actinopteri; Anabantiformes; Osphronemidae. The record is from RNAcentral.